RNAcentral lists this small RNA (442 nucleotides) under Histoplasma capsulatum. Its description in RNAcentral is "hypothetical RNA". The record is from RNAcentral. Lineage: Eukaryota; Fungi; Ascomycota; Eurotiomycetes; Onygenales; Ajellomycetaceae. RNAcentral also lists the same sequence under 1 other name.
CCGCUAAUAUGCCUACACAGAGAGUUGUUAUUUGCCAUUGAAUGCCCUGCCGGCCCUGGAACCCUGGCUACAUACAACAUUCAACACGAGUAUCUGUUCCUUGUAUUAUUCGUAAGGACUUGUUAUUUUUCACCACCUCUGGACGAGAUCUUCCUCGUUGAGGCUAGCAGCGGUUUCACCGUUUGUGUCGCCCCAAAAAGUCCCAGCAGCCAUGCUCCCACCACAACAGAACAGAUUAAAGAUCCCACCCGAUGGAAGCAAUACAAAAGGGCGACAUAUCGGAUCUAGCAAUGCCCUCCUCGGGAAAGAAACAACUGCACCGAAAAUAGGACUAAAGAGGCAAUACUCCUUCGCCAACUUCUACCCAGCUUUCGUUUGCGCAAAGCCCGCUUGGGGGUUUGUUGAGCAUCUCUCGAGCCAAAAAAAAAAUGACGUUGUCCCC